This 161-nucleotide unclassified non-coding RNA is filed under the name soil metagenome. RNAcentral describes it as "partial internal transcribed spacer 1". The record is from RNAcentral.
AAGAGACGUUGCCCUUCGGGGUAUACCUCCCGCCCUUUGUUUAUUAUACCUUUGUUGCUUUGGCGGGCCCGUCCUCGGACCACCGGCUUCUGCUGGUCAGUGCCCGCCAGAGGACCUAAAACUCUGUUUGUUAAUAUUGUCUGAGUACUAUAUAAUAGUUA